GCGCGAGAAGGAGCAGGAGCAGGUGCGGCCGUGGCGGGAGCAGGUGACGCUGCGCGGCAUGGUGGCGGCGCUGCUGAUCGGCUUCAUGUACACCGUCAUCGUCAUGAAGAUCGCGCUCACCACGGGUCUGGUGCCCACGCUGAACGUCUCGGCGGCGCUGAUGGCGUUCCUCGCGCUCCGCGGGUGGACGCGCGUGCUGGAGCGCCUCGGCGUCGCGCACCGCCCCUUCACGCGCCAAGAGAACUGCGUCGUCGAGACCUGCGCCGUCGCGUGCUACACCAUCGCCUUCGGCGGUCAGCAGCUCAGCUCAGCUCAGCUCAGCGCGGGAUGCACGCCGGCGUGACGGUUGCCGUUGACUGAUUCGCGCGCGCGCGUGUGCAGGUGGGUUCGGCUCCACGUUGCUGGGCCUGGACAAGAAGACGUACGAGCUGGCCGGGGCGUCGCCGGCCAACGUGCCGGGGAGCUACAAGGACCCUGGAUUCGGCUGGAUGGCUGGAUUCAUCGCGGCAAUCAGCUUCGCCGGCCUCCUAAGCUUGAUUCCCCUCAGAAAGGUGCUGUUCCUCUCUGUCUCUAUUUAUCAUUCUUCUCCAUCUGCUAGACAAAAUAUUCCUAUGAUUUUGAACGGAGGAAGCAUUUUUCAAGGUUUUUCUUUUCCAUAUUUAAAGUUCGAUUAACAAACGUUUGAACAGCUAAGGUGACAAGCUUUAUCAUUCGAGGACACAAAAUGGAAACUGAGGUUGAAUACCCAAUAUAUAAUUUCUUGAGUUUUUCAUCAUUAUUCCACAGACAAAAAAACUUAUGUAAUCCUUUUCUUUUGCCAUUGACGCAUAAAUGAAAUAGUUUUUGGUAGCAGUGGUAGUUACUCAAUCCAGAUAUAAAUAAGUGAUGUUCUGAACAUUGGAGCGCACGGUCGACAUUGAUAAUACUAUUUAUUACUAUCUUUUAUAAAACUAAUUCUCACUACAUAUUUUAUCUCAACAUACAAAACAUUUACAUCAUCUUCCACGGUAAAGUUUAUUUUUCUCUUGAGGAUAUGUGCACUCACUCUCCUACCAAUUGGAUUUGCUUUGAGAAGUAUGCAAACACACAUCUCAAUGCGAAACUGCUUUGAGAUGUGUGUUUGCACACUUCUCAAAGCGAAUCCAAUGGGUGGGAGAGUGAAGGCAUGUGCCCUUAAGGGCAAAAAAACCGCCUUCCAUCUUCCACUAAUUGGCCAAGUUAUGUUACUAACUUUCCAACCUCUUAAUACAAGCUAUCUCAAAUUCUAUCAAGACAUACACAUCAUCUUUCACUAAUAACUAUGUUAUGUCACUAACUUUCAACCUCUUAACGCAAGCUAUCCACGCUAUCUUAAAUUCUAGCUCAAUAUGCAAGACAUCCACAUCAUGUUCCACUAAUAGCCAUGUCAUAUACCUAACUUCCAACCUCUUAAUGAAAGUUUUCCGCAUUAUCUCAAGUUUUAUCUCAACAUACAAGAAAUCCACAUUAUGUUCCACUAACUAUCCACAUAAUCUUUCACUAAUAGACAUAUCAUGCCACUAACUUUCAACCUCUUAAUACAUGCUAUCCAUGUCAUCUCUACUUAAUUUCUUUUUUUUUUUGCAAUCUCCGCACCAAACGUGCAGAGUAUCUUCUAGUCUAUGAAAUAUAGCAAAAAAGUAUUUGUAUGGAACUCAGACGAAUAUAUUCAUGUCAUUUAUAGUGUCUAAACUCAGCAUAUAAUUUAGAAUGGUUGACUUAGAGCAACCUCAAAGUGUCACUUACUAGUGAUCGGAGGGAGUACAAUGUUUACAAAUCUAAUGAAAAGUUUGCUAGUUUUCAGUUAUGAAUAAUGCUUCUCGUUUUACAAGACAUUUCUACUUUCCAGGUUUUGGUCAUUGACUACAAGUUAACCUACCCAAGUGGAACUGCAACUGCUGUCCUCAUAAACGGUUUCCACACCAAGCAAGGAGACAAGAAUGCAAAGUAUGGAUUUCAUCACCCCACCUAUGCUAGGUUCAUAUAUUAGGCUGCGGUUGGAUCAAGCAUCCCUUGAUCACGAGUUACUGAUCCAAGUGAACUAAUUUACUUUCCAUGACAGGAUGCAAGUCCAUGGGUUUCUGAAGUACUUUGGGCUCAGCUUCAUAUGGAGUUUUUUCCAAUGGUUCUACACAGGCGGUGAUGUUUGCGGUUUUGUUCAGUUUCCUACUUUCGGUCUGAAGGCUUGGAAGCAAACGUAAAUAUGCAUAGUCUGCUGCUUCAAAUAUCUUCAUAAUUUGCAGCACAUAAUGCUAUCUAAUUCUCGGUUUCUUGGCUGUCAGAUUCUUCUUUGAUUUUAGCCUCACAUAUGUUGGUGCGGGGAUGAUUUGUUCACACCUUGUGAACAUCUCCACCCUCCUUGGUGCGAUCCUGUCAUGGGGGAUACUAUGGCCACUGAUCAGCAAACAAAAAGGAGAGUGGUACCCUGCAAAUAUACCAGAAAGCAGCAUGAAAAGCUUAUACGGUUACAAGGUCUCUCUCUCUUAUCACCAAACUCUUAUUUUUUUGACUUGCUUAUUCUUGAAAAAAAAAGAAUAUUGGAGAUCAUGUGUCACUAAACAUGUCCAUUUUUCCCCUUCCAGGCAUUCCUCUGCAUAGCUCUGAUCAUGGGAGAUGGUACGUACCACUUCUUUAAGGUCUUUGGUGUCACCAUUAAGAACCUACAUCAACGACUAAACCGGAAACGUGCUAGCAACAGAGGUGAGAAAAAUGAAAAACACCACAGACUCAAUUCUAAUGCAUAACUUUUCCACCUUUCAUCGUUUCAAAAUUUCAAGAGAGGGAGAUAGACUAACCUGUUGUUGUUGAUUGAAUGAACAGUAGCAAAUGGUGGGGAAGAAAUGGUCGCACUUGAUGAUCUACAGCGUGAUGAGAUCUUCAACGACGGAUCUUUCCCCUCGUGGGCAGCUUAUGCCGGAUACGCAUUGCUGACCAUCAUUUCCGCGAUCACCAUCCCACAUAUAUUCCGGCAGAUCAAGUGGUACUACGUCAUCGUGGCCUAUGUCCUCGCCCCUCUUCUCGGGUUCGCCAAUUCCUACGGGACAGGGCUCACUGACAUCAACAUGGCCUACAACUACGGCAAGAUCGCAUUGUUCAUCUUCGCAGCUUGGGCUGGCAAGGACAAUGGAGUCAUUGCCGGCCUCGCUGGCGGCACCCUAGUGAAGCAGCUGGUGAUGGCAUCCGCGGAUCUGAUGCACGACUUCAAGACAGGACACCUGACCUUGACAUCGCCGAGGUCCUUGCUCGUGGCGCAAUUUAUCGGGACAGCCAUGGGCUGCAUCAUUGCGCCUCUCACGUUCUUGCUCUUCUACAACGCGUUUGACAUCGGGAACCCCAACGGUUACUGGAAGGCGCCAUACGGGUUGAUCUACCGAAACAUGGCGAUCCUUGGUGUGGAGGGUUUCUCUGUGUUGCCCAAGCACUGCCUUGCGCUCUCCGCUGGGUUCUUCGCGUUCGCGUUUGUCUUCAGUGUCGCCCGGGACGUCCUACCGCGGAAGUACGCGAGGUUUGUGCCCCUACCAAUGGCGAUGGCUGUGCCGUUCCUUGUGGGUGGGAGCUUCGCGAUUGAUAUGUGCAUUGGGAGUCUGGUUGUCUUUGUUUGGAACACGAUGAACAAGAAGGAGGCUGUGUUCAUGGUGCCUGCGGUUGCGUCCGGGUUGAUCUGUGGAGACGGCAUAUGGACCUUCCCAUCUUCCGUGCUCGCUUUGGCCAAGAUCAAACCACCGAUUUGCAUGAAGUUCACGCCUGGAAGCUAGAAACAUUAUGGACAGUUCGUGAAAUUGUAGAAUGUGAGUGAGAUUCAGUGAAGGCAUCAAGUGUGAUUAGUGGUAGUGGACAUAAUAAGUUGAAGCCAUGUCGCCUGUAUUAUCUUUGUUGUGUAUGUGUGGGUUCUCCUUCUCCGAGAGCCACAAUACUUGAGAUUUCUAGAGCUGAUAUGUUUUUCAUCAUGUUGGGUUUAACCUAUAUUUAUGUUUUGGAAAAAAAGAUUACUACAAUAUUGUCUAACGGAAAUUAAUGCUCAUUUUUGUAUUUACAUUCUUUCAAGAUUUUAGCUACUGACUUGUAUAAUAUGCUGCCCACAAUAUGAAUUCAUAGAUUAGGAAGUAAAUCUAGUCAGGGUUAAAAGUGUAGUUGUGCAUUCACAGUUUCACACAAUGUCACCAUCUAGGUAAAUUCUUUUUAACUAAGGGUGUGUUUGCUAGUGAUUUAAUUCUUGUAGAAAUAUUUUAGAUCUAGAUUUUUUUAAGAAACAUUUCAGAUAACGUGGCGAGGUGUCACCUGGCGCUUGGCUGCUGGCCUAACAUGGAUGCCAGGUCAAACUAGCAUAGGAGAUGGUUCUACCUCCCCAACAUUGCCCCGAUGCUGCCUCCUUAUUCAUCGGCCAGGCUAGGAGACGAGGUGCCACCAGCCCGCCUGCUCCUCCUUUGGAGGUGAAGGGGUGGAUCCAACGGCCUAGGCACCAGGUUCCUCAUUGGUGGCCGCGAGAGCCUCGGUCGUGAGGGGGAAGUGUUCUCGGCACGGACCUUUGGUGGAUGAGAGGCUCAUUCCAUUGAGCAUUCGACUAUGCCAAUCAUGCCGGUGACUCCUUCUAGGCAUAUUUUCUUCUUUUGUCGAGUUCAGUCCUUUUCUAGUCUGUGCUUCGAUUCCACCAUAAUGUGCAGGGCCUUCUUGAUGGGACCGCCUCUUGGUGGCGUAGGCCAGUCUACUGCUGCCGCUGGCUCCUCAUCACGGCAUCGACUGACGUCGCUAGCUACCAUUGUGGUUCACCUGCCGUGGCAGAGCCCUCUCGUCACCCCUCCAUGGUCCUCUAGCUUUGAGGAGGGGGGCUUGCUAGGCGUCAUCCCCCUGACAAGGGAGCAUGACGAGGCAUGUGUGCCACAUCACCGCUGGCUACCUCGCUUCGCUCAUGCAUGCCAUUCAACACAUGGCUUAACAAUGUUUCGAGUGCAUGCAAAGGUGUUCUUUUAUAUUGCCUAAGAGCAUAUACAAUAAUGGACUUAUAGUCAAGCUAAUGUUGAUUUGGAGGAGAAAAGACAGGAGAGAGAUGAUAGCUUGGCUCUCAUGUAAGCACUAAGCUACGCACGGAUGCAUAGGUAGUGGUGGCCCAAAUAGCAAGUAUUGUAAGGAGGAAUCGAAAAGAGAAAAUGUCUUAGAGACAAGUAUGAAACAACUUACUGUAUAACUUGGCUCUAAUCACUUGGCUUAUAGUCAACACUUGACUCUAUUAUUAACCUUGCUCUAAGCAGUAAUACUCAAUGGUGUACAUGUGCGAGGAAAACCAACAAUAGCGGCACAAAGGGGAACUAAAAUUGCAAAAAUCAAUGACAAUGAAAGAACACAUAAUUUUCAAUAAUGGAACACAGAAAGGAACAGUAUAUGUUUCAAUGGCGUUCAAGGAAUUUUUUUAUAAAAUAUAUAUACCUAGAAAAACUAAAAUAACGUAUGAUUUAGAACGGGGAGUAGUUUUAUAUUGUACCUGCUACAAAAGUCGGUCUAGGCUCUUCAUAUUUGGACAAAUUUCAGGGUUUCAUUUUGUAGAGUAUACACAGGCACUUAGCUUUUUUUUUUUUUGAAACGAGGGUACCGGCCUAAUGAUAAUAGGACAUGAUUCCCCGAUAACCUGCGUUCAAAAGAAAUUCCAUCAAUCUGUACGAGAUGAAUUAUACACAGAUAUGACGGCAAGAAAAAUGCUGCUACCGAUCAACUCGCUCGAGUCGCUUUCCUUCUUCCCCUAACAAGUCUCUCGACAGCUAAUAAUGCGACGACUAGAAAAUUUCUUAGUAUUUUUUCUGCGGCGAGAAUACUUCAGGGUUUGGACUAGUGAUUGUAAGUGAGAUUUUCAGAUAACGAGUGAUUCUAAGUGACAUGGCAUAGUUGACAUUUGAAGGAUUUUUCUAUAUAUAAAUCCCGGCUACUAACAUCUAAACCUCACCAUCUUCUGAUGCAGCUCACCGCCUUGGGGUUGCGCUUGUAAGCAUCGGCCUCUACGCUUCUCGUGAGGCAGGGAUCGAGGCCGCCAUGGACCGCGCGCGGAGCGGUGCCGCUGCCGCUGCCACGGACGAUGAAGAGAUCGAGAAGCACGAGCCGGUGCCUGAGGACAUGGAGUCUGACCCGGCGGCGGCGCGCGAGAAAGAGCAGGUGCCGCCGUGGCGGGAGCAGGUGACGCUGCGCGGCAUGGUGGCGGCGCUGCUGAUCGGCUUCAUGUACACCGUCAUCGUCUUGAAGAUGGUUCUCAGCACGGGGCAGUUGCCCACGCUGAACGUCUCGGCGGCGCUGAUGGCGUUCCUCGCGCUCCGCGGGUGGACGCGCGUGCUGGAGCGCCUCGGCGUCGCGCACCGCCCCUUCACGCGGCAGGAGAACUGCGUCGUCGAGACCUGCGCCGUCGCGUGCUACACCAUCGCCUUCGGC
This 6426-nucleotide long non-coding RNA is filed under the name Sorghum bicolor (sorghum). Its description in RNAcentral is "long non-coding RNA (SBIC_LNC007438)". The record is from RNAcentral. Lineage: Eukaryota; Viridiplantae; Streptophyta; Magnoliopsida; Poales; Poaceae.